AGGGAUAGAGUCGGUUCGGCCGGAUUUCACACAGGUGUUGCAUGGCUGUCGUCAGCUCGUGUCGUGAGAUGUUGGGUUAAGUCCCGCAACGAGCGCAACCCUCAUCCUUAGUUACCAUCAGGUAAUGCUGGGGACUUUAAGGAAACUGCCAGUGAUAAACUGGAGGAAGGUGGGGAUGAUGUCAAGUCAUCAUGGCCCUUAUGGAGUGGGCUACACACGUGCUACAAUGGUGGCUACAAUGGGCUGCAAAGUCGCGAGGCUAAGCUAAUCCCUUAAAAGCCAUCUCAGUUCGGAUUGUACUCUGCAACUCGAGUACAUGAAGUUGGAAUCGCUAGUAAUCGUGGAUCAGCAUGCCACGGUGAAUACGUUCUCGGGUCUUGUACACACUGCCCGUCACGCCAUGGGAAUUGGU
RNAcentral lists this ribosomal RNA (412 nucleotides) under Wolbachia sp. RNAcentral describes it as "bacterial SSU rRNA". It matches the Rfam family "Bacterial small subunit ribosomal RNA", at positions 1005 to 1415 of the family's 1533-position model. The record is from RNAcentral. Lineage: Bacteria; Pseudomonadati; Pseudomonadota; Alphaproteobacteria; Rickettsiales; Anaplasmataceae.